GAGGUAUUUGCGUUCUUUCUCGUCGUGUCUUCCCGGCCUGACGUUUCUCUCUAGUCUUCUCGGUUUUGCAUUCUGAGUGCUUUCAUCCCUGCUUUCCGUGAGUCCAGCGUGCGCUGCGCUUAGCUACCCGUGUGUGUCUCACACACCUACACCCCGCCUAUACUAACCCUCCGCCCUGGCACCCCCUCUCUCCGUCUCUUCUCUUCGUCGCACGCGUGCACGCCAUCCAAUCAUGUUCACCUCCAAGUCUGAGUACGACCGCGGCGUGAACACCUUCAGCCCGGAGGGUCGCAUUUUCCAGAUCGAGUAUGCUGUGGAGGCCAUCAAACUGGGUAGCACCAGCCUCGGAAUCCGUACGCCCGAGGGCGUCGUUCUUGCCGCGGAGAAACGCGUGCCAUCGACUUUGGUCGUUCCGUCCAGCAUGAGUAAGAUUAUGGAGAUCGACAGCCACAUUGCGACUGUCAUGAGCGGCAUGGUUGCAGAUGCGCGCAUCCUUGUCGAGCACGCCCGCGUGGAGUCGCAGAACCACCGCUUCACCUACAACGAGCCCAUGUCCGUGGAGUCCUGCACGCUAGCGACGUGCGACCUGUCGAUCCAGUUUGGUGAGAGCGGUGGCAAGCGCAAGCUGAUGUCACGCCCGUUCGGCGUGUCGCUGCUCAUCGCCGGCGUAGAUGAAAAGGGCCCGCAGCUGUGGCAGACAGACCCCAGCGGCACGCACACGCGCUACGACGCCCAAGCCAUUGGUGGCGGUGCCGAGGCGGCGCAGAGUGUCUUCACGGAGCGCUACCACCGCAACAUGACGCUGGAGGAGGGCGAGACGCUCGCGGUGGACAUUCUGAAGCAGGUGAUGGAGGACCAGCUGUCGCCGGAGAACAUAGAGGUGGCCGUAGUGCGGGCAGACGACGGCAAGCUGCACAUGUACACACCCACAGAAAUCAAAGCAAUCAUGAGUCGCAUGCCGGAGUAAGAAAUGAAAGACAACCAAUGGAACAUGCAGAUGUAGCAGUCGACGAUCGCCCCACUCCUCUGUGAAGAGUAGGAUUCACAGAAUAGAAAAACGAUGAGAGGAAGAGCUGCGCUGAUUCCUGUAAUCGCACUUUCCAAGGCCGAUGCACGACCAAGGAGGGGAAGCAGCGCUGAAUCGUCAACGCUGUCUCCUACCCUCUCUAUUCCCUCCCCUAUCAAUACCAUCUCUUCCCGUUUUCGUGCUUCACGUCGUUGGUCUCGUCCUCUUCCACUAGCCUCUUAUCUCCCCUGCUUCGCUGGAAGCGCACAACUUGGGGCUACUGCUGCUGCUGCUGCUGCUGCGUAUGCGUGUGUGCAGCAGUAGCGGCUGCGUAUGUGGCGUCGCUCUGGUGGUACUCUCUGUUCCUCCCCUCUUCUAUUUCAUGCCCUUUGUCUGUUUAUCUCCCUUUUUUCCCUUUUGUGCUCUCGUUCAUGUUGUGGCGCUUUCCAUCCACUCUCUGUGCGUGGAUGUGUCGUCUGUGUAUGCGUCUCUCUCUGUCUGUGUAUGUAUGUGUGUGCGCGCCUCUCUCUCGCACGCAGCCAUUGAAUCGGCCAUGGUAUUCGUUGACUGGAAGAAUAGCGGAAACAAGCGAAAAACCGAAAAGGACACACCCGAGGAGCAAAUCUGCCGUCAGGACCGGGCCAGCGCGCACCGUGAAAACCACGCACUAUUUACUUGCAGCUGACAGCAGGAGAGAGGAGACGGGCAAAGAUACGUCCAUCUGCACUGAAUGCGCUGCACGUGCGUUGUUUUGUUUUUCCUCUCGUGGAGGAGGUGAGGGUUGGGGUGUCUGAACGCACCCGGCGCAAGCUGUGGCGGGCAAUGUAGGACUCAUCUCAUCACCAGAGUCCAUGCGCCAUCCUUCACGCAGCCUGCAUUGUUGCCUUAUGCGGGGACUUGUCCGACAUGACCUUAGUGCGUGGUGCGGUGAGCAGAUGUCGUGGCGCUGCCUGGGGGCCUCCAUUCGUCAAGCAAUGCGUUUUCUCCUCUCCGUCUCUCGCAUUUCUGCUCUUUUCGGUGCGGCCACGCUAUCCCCCUUUCUAUCUCUUCUUUUCACUGCGGUUUAAUGGCGCGCGCCAUUUCCCUUUCUCCAG
Molecule: unclassified non-coding RNA, 2100 nt
Filed under: Leishmania donovani
Lineage: Eukaryota; Euglenozoa; Kinetoplastea; Trypanosomatida; Trypanosomatidae
Description: gene:LdHU3.21.2610(CDS-product:proteasome_subunit _alpha_type-5_putative)
Source: RNAcentral